RNAcentral lists this ribosomal RNA (1294 nucleotides) under Salmonella enterica. RNAcentral describes it as "partial 23S ribosomal RNA". It matches the Rfam family "Bacterial large subunit ribosomal RNA", at positions 940 to 2215 of the family's 2925-position model. Lineage: Bacteria; Pseudomonadati; Pseudomonadota; Gammaproteobacteria; Enterobacterales; Enterobacteriaceae. The record is from RNAcentral.
CAACCCGAUGCAAACUGCGAAUACCGGAGAAUGUUAUCACGGGAGACACACGGCGGGUGCUAACGUCCGUCGUGAAGAGGGAAACAACCCAGACCGCCAGCUAAGGUCCCAAAGUCAUGGUUAAGUGGGAAACGAUGUGGGAAGGCCCAGACAGCCAGGAUGUUGGCUUAGAAGCAGCCAUCAUUUAAAGAAAGCGUAAUAGCUCACUGGUCGAGUCGGCCUGCGCGGAAGAUGUAACGGGGCUAAACCAUGCACCGAAGCUGCGGCAGCGACGCUGAUGCGUUGUUGGGUAGGGGAGCGUUCUGUAAGCCUGCGAAGGUGGCCUGUGAGGGUUGCUGGAGGUAUCAGAAGUGCGAAUGCUGACAUAAGUAACGAUAAAGCGGGUGAAAAGCCCGCUCGCCGGAAGACCAAGGGUUCCUGUCCAACGUUAAUCGGGGCAGGGUGAGUCGACCCCUAAGGCGAGGCCGAAAGGCGUAGUCGAUGGGAAACGGGUUAAUAUUCCCGUACUUGGUGUUACUGCGAAGGGGGGACGGAGAAGGCUAUGUUGGCCGGGCGACGGUUGUCCCGGUUUAAGCGUGUAGGUGUGUGUUCCAGGUAAAUCCGGUUCACUUUAACACUGAGGCGUGAUGACGAGGCACUACGGUGCUGAAGCAACAAAUGCCCUGCUUCCAGGAAAAGCCUCUAAGCAUCAGGUAACAUCAAAUCGUACCCCAAACCGACACAGGUGGUCAGGUAGAGAAUACCAAGGCGCUUGAGAGAACUCGGGUGAAGGAACUAGGCAAAAUGGUGCCGUAACUUCGGGAGAAGGCACGCUGACACGUAGGUGAAGUGAUUUACUCAUGGAGCUGAAGUCAGUCGAAGAUACCAGCUGGCUGCAACUGUUUAUUAAAAACACAGCACUGUGCAAACACGAAAGUGGACGUAUACGGUGUGACGCCUGCCCGGUGCCGGAAGGUUAAUUGAUGGGGUCAGCGCAAGCGAAGCUCCUGAUCGAAGCCCCGGUAAACGGCGGCCGUAACUAUAACGGUCCUAAGGUAGCGAAAUUCCUUGUCGGGUAAGUUCCGACCUGCACGAAUGGCGUAAUGAUGGCCAGGCUGUCUCCACCCGAGACUCAGUGAAAUUGAACUCGCUGUGAAGAUGCAGUGUACCCGCGGCAAGACGGAAAGACCCCGUGAACCUUUACUAUAGCUUGACACUGAACAUUGAGCCUUGAUGUGUAGGAUAGGUGGGAGGCUUUGAAGUGUGGACGCCAGUCUGCAUGGAGCCGACCUUGAAAUACCACCCUUUAAUGUUU